Molecule: ribosomal RNA, 505 nt
Filed under: uncultured bacterium
Lineage: Bacteria
Description: partial 16S ribosomal RNA
Source: RNAcentral
GGAGUUAGCCGGUGCUUCUUCUGUGAGUGAUGUCCUUCCUGCCGGUUAUUGACCCGCAGGCCUUCUUCCUCACUGAAAGUGCUUUACAACCCGAAGGCCUUCUUCACACACGCGGCAUGGCUGGAUCAGGGUUGCCCCCAUUGUCCAAUAUUCCCCACUGCUGCCUCCCGUAGGAGUCUGGGCCGUGUCUCAGUCCCAGUGUGGCUGAUCAUCCUCUCAGACCAGCUACGGAUCGUCGCCUUGGUGAGCCGUUACCUCACCAACCAGCUAAUCCGACAUAGGCUCAUCCGAUAGCGCGAGGCCCGAAGGUCCCCCGCUUUCCCCCGUAGGGCGUAUGCGGUAUUAGCCUGGGUUUCCCCAGGUUAUCCCCCACUACCGGGGCAGAUUCCUAUGCAUUACUCACCCGUCCGCCGCUCGCCACCAGGGAGCAAGCUCCCCGUGCUGCCGCUCGACUUGCAUGUGUAGGCUGCCGCCACGCGUCAUCUGAGCGAGAUACAACUACUGA